CCGUGGUGUUAGUAAAAUACCACGUGUAUUUACCCAAAAAUCUGAUCCGAUGUCUCCGCCCCCUACUUCUAGUAUCCUCAGUUUUUCCUCCGAUUCAAUUCUUCUCCCUCAAAUCCAUCUCCCAAAUCGGAGAGGGUUAGAAAGGGUUUUCGAGCCAAUCAUAUUUGAUUUCUCCACCGCUAUUCUCCUCCAGUCGGCUGUCUCUAUCUGCUACGCUUCACGUUUCUUCAGCAAAAUUAGGAUUGGGGUUUGUUGAUAUCUGUCGAUUCUUAUCAUCACCGGGUUUGAAGGAGAAGUGAUUAGGGAUGUCUGCUGCGAAGGGGAUGAAUGUCGUCAUCGUUCUCGCACCACACAUCGUUCUCACACCCCCACUGCAACCGUUACUCCCUCUGUAGCAGAAGCACUAUUUCGAUCCUUGCUAGCGUUGCUACCUUUCGAUCAAGCACUUCAGAUGAAUUCUGCAGCGUCGGUCGGUGAUUGCUGCUGCUUUCGUUAAUCUUACUCUUGUUGUUCAGCCUUACGAUAAUUUCUCUCCUCUUCUGUAUCGCAUCCAAUUCUUUGAAAAACUCGAAAUUAAUAAGGUUCUAUUAUAAUUUCUUGUGGGAACGUGCUUCUUUAUGUGUGACAGAAAAAAAUGAUGCUUUCAAGGUUCAGUAAUAGCCCUAAUUUCUAGGUUGCAUCUGUCAAUGCAGCAGUCUUCGCAUCCUUUCUUUUGAUCUUAUAUUCAUCUGUGAUGGACAUGGAGAAUAAGCUUCAACCCUUGAGGCUACAAGAGAAGUCUGCAUUCUUAGUAAACCUUCAACAAGAGGAGAUUAAUGUCCAAAAUACCCCUUAAGAAUCUACUAACCUAAAUCUCUGAACUGCCCUUGAUAUUUAUGUUUAACUUAAUUUUUAUUGGUAAAAAUAAUUUGGGCAAGCUCAUAUCUUUUGUUAUUUAUCCCUAAAAAGGUUAAAUAUGGGCUUUUAUUCAAGGACUGGUAAAUCAAAUGAGGGUUUGGACCCACAAAACCAUACUAAAUACAAACUUGAUGGUGUGGAAGUUCUUGAUUCAAACUAAUUUCUGACAUUAAACCAUCUUUAUCCAUGAUUGCUCUUGAAUUAAAUAUGUAAUGAAGGUGAACCAAACUAAUUUCAGUCAACCAUUUUGUCACAUGAAAGAAUCAAUCUUGAGGUUUUAAUUGUGCUUUUAGAAAGUCGUCUGGGACAAGAUAGUCUUUACAUUGGAUGCAUGAAAUCUUCUUUACAUUGGAUGCAUGAAAUCUGGUGAAGUACUUACCGAAGAGUAAGUACCCUUUGUUGUAAACUUUAAUGUAACUAACUUCAAUUUUAAAAAAUAAAAAAAAUAAAUCUUUUUAGUUUGUCAAUUUAGGGGAAUACAAUGGCAUGAAUUAUAUCGGGAGAUGCUACAAAUAACCACAUUUUAUUACACUUUUCCAUGCUACAUAUCAUCGAAGAUUACCGACAUCAUUAAUGUCUAUUUUUGAAUGCUAUUCAUGUCAUCAUAUAAUCGCACUUCAUUUAAAACCGCGGCAUAGCGCGUUCUUUUAUUAGUUUUGUUUAUGAUCCAAGGUUCUUAGCAAUAAAAAUAAGACAUAAAAAUAUUGUUACAGUGAUUAAAGUGGUGGGAGAAGACAACAACAAUGGCAUUUGUAUUGUUAUUGAUGAAUACACUUUUUAAAGAGGUUAUAUUUGUGUAUUAAUUAUUUACGAAUAUAUUGUAUAACCAUUAUGAUAUGUUAUUCUAGAAAUGAAUUUUGUGUUUA
This is a non-coding RNA of Lactuca sativa (garden lettuce), 1763 nucleotides long. The record is from RefSeq and is a predicted model, not a curated record. NCBI's taxonomy places the organism in Eukaryota, Viridiplantae, Streptophyta, Magnoliopsida, Asterales, Asteraceae.